UCCCUCACGUGCACGCAGAGAACUGAGCCAGUAAAUACAUAGGACUUUUUUUUAGUCCACAGUAGGCAAAUGGAAGCUCAGUUAAGUGUGUUACCUAAAUGGAAAGGUAAAUUCAAUUUGCAAAAUGCUGUAAAGGUCCUGCCAUUCAGCAGGACUAGCAGAAGAGAUAAUUUAAAAAAUGAAAUCCUUUUCCUUAUUGCAUCAACGGCUUUCCACUGGCAACUCUUUAAAUAAGUGUGCAGAGAGGGGAAUAGGGGAAGGUUAGGUGUGGGUGCAUUGGGGGGUGUGGAGAAGGCAACCUGAAUUUCCCUUUUGGCAGCUUGCUUUGUCCUUUAGGUUGGUAAGUGCUCUGGGACCACUCUCUCUGGCUUUAGCUGACCAUCCUUUUCCAUCAGCUCUCCUCAUUUUUCUUCUUGUGUUUUUCUUCUAGCUUCUCAUAAGUCUAAAGGAAUGUGGGGAUGAGGGUAGAAGAAGAGUUAUGGAGUGAUUCAGGUGUGUCAGAGAAAUAUUUUGCUGCUUGAAAGUCCAUGCCCCAAAUUGUUCUUAUAUGAUUAUAUUUCAUUCCUAGUUGUGGGGAGACGGGAUACCCUGUACUAUCUAGUACAGUAGCCACUGGCCCCAUGUAGCCAUCCAAACACUUAACAUAUGUGACUAAAAAACUGCACUUUUAAAAAGAAAUUAAAAAAACUAAAAAAAUACAAAAGCAAAAGAAAAGUUUAAAAAAACCCUGAAAUUUUAAUUUAAUGAUACAUUUUAGAGGAAUGAAGAGAGAAGAUGUUUGUACAAGGAAGGGUGCUGGAAAGAAUUAUCACAAGAGCACCUGACCCUCCAGUGUACAAUCAACAAAGAAUCUGGAAUCAAAGAGUGCCAAGCUUCUCCAAGACCAGGAAUGCCUGGACUGCCUAUUCGAAAACCUUCAUCUUCAUUCUUGCUGGAGACAUUAUGUCGUCAGGAGGUUUCAUCACCUGCUGCCACUAGAUGGUGCCUGUCAUUGAAACAAAGGUUCUUCCUCCCAUCUUUUGUUUCCUUUAGGUGCCUAUAAGGACGUUGGAUGAUAUCAAAGAAAUUUGAUUGAUAAGUUAAGUAGUGGGUUAGUAUUCUAGAAGGUCAUUUAGCACAGAGAGUUAUUUAUUUUAUUUUGUAAUUUAUUUUUUAAAUUUAUUUUUGGCUGCGUUGGGUCUUCAUUGCUGUGUGCGGGCUUCUCAUUGUGGUGCCUUCUCUUGUUGUGGAGCACAGGCUCUAAGCGUACGGGCUUCAGUAGUUGUGGCACGUGGGCUCAGUAGUUGUGGCUCGUGGGCUCUAGAGCGCAGGCUCAGUAGUUGUGGAGCAU
Molecule: long non-coding RNA, 1330 nt
Filed under: Delphinapterus leucas (beluga whale)
Lineage: Eukaryota; Metazoa; Chordata; Mammalia; Artiodactyla; Monodontidae
Description: lncRNA (ENSDLEG00000014588.1)
Source: RNAcentral